Molecule: ribosomal RNA, 471 nt
Filed under: uncultured Dehalobacterium sp.
Lineage: Bacteria; Bacillati; Bacillota; Clostridia; Eubacteriales; Peptococcaceae
Description: bacterial SSU rRNA
Rfam family: Bacterial small subunit ribosomal RNA
Source: RNAcentral
UGUCCUACGGGAGGCUGCAGUGGGGAAUCUUCCGCAAUGGGCGAAAGCCUGACGGAGCAACGCCGCGUGAGUGAAGAAGGCCUUCGGGUCGUAAAGCUCUGUCUUUAGGGAAGAACAACUAUAAUGCUAAUAUCAUUAUAGUCUGACGGUACCUAAGGAGGAAGCUCCGGCUAACUACGUGCCAGCAGCCGCGGUAAUACGUAGGGAGCAAGCGUUGUCCGGAAUUACUGGGCGUAAAGGGCGUGUAGGCGGGAAUUUAAGUAAGGUGUGAAAACUCCGGGCUCAACCUGGAGACUGCACUUUAAACUGAGUUUCUUGAGGGCAGGAGAGGAAAGUGGAAUUCCUAGUGUAGCGGUGAAAUGCGUAGAUAUUAGGAGGAACACCAGUGGCGAAGGCGACUUUCUGGACUGUACCUGACGCUGAGGCGCGAAAGCGUGGGGAGCGAACAGGAUUAGAUACCCCUGUAGUCAU